This 4282-nucleotide unclassified non-coding RNA is filed under the name Limulus polyphemus (Atlantic horseshoe crab). RNAcentral's name for it is "uncharacterized LOC106460330, transcript variant X1". The record is from RNAcentral. Lineage: Eukaryota; Metazoa; Arthropoda; Merostomata; Xiphosura; Limulidae.
GACGUCAUGCCGAGCUCACGUGACUUGUUACAUACAGUUCGAGUACUGGGGGUUGGAGAAGGCAGCAUCAGUGCAUUCAAACGUUCGAAAGAAAGAGAGGGGUAAGACACAAACGAACAGUUAGAAACAGGCAGAAUCAGUACAAUGUCGAAAUAUCUAUCGGAAAUACCAUAAAAAUGUUUUUCUUGAAAAAUACAACAUCGCUACAACAUAGAAAAUUGGACAGAUAUCAAAGAAUUUUAAAGUUCUAUGAUAUAUAAAGUACUGUAAAAUACAGAUUGAGAUAAUAAGCUACCAAAAUGCCUGUUCUUAAACAAGAUUUUUUUACUAGCCUGCUCAAUCCACGACAGCUGAUCAGUUCGUCUCCAAGAAGCACUCCAGAUUUAAGAACGUUGGAUAAUCAGGAUUGUGUUAGGAUAGAAGCCAACCCUGGUGCACUUCCCAUUAUUUCCCUACCGGAUGAAUUGGAUCCUCUUAUGUCCGACGGACUUGACUUACAGCCUCUUUUACCUGACAAAAAGGUACAUCGAGGUAGAAAAAAAUGUAAACGUAACGGCAUAAAUAGGUCUCAGUCUAUGCGGAACUCUAGGCAACCCCAGUCGGCUACUUCUUCAAGAAAAUUUCGCUCGAGAAUAGCUAGCAUUCCCACCGAACAUAGUGUACUUCCUGGAAGUUCGGCUCCACUCCGUUCAUCUUCUGACCAUUCUCUCGCGUUAUUAGGAGCCGAUAGCGACUUCCAACGACUCCGAAACUUUUACGUGACUCCUAAAGGACUUGUCAACCGAGGGGACUCCUUCCGCUGCAAAUCUCGUAGCGCCCACAGUGUAUCGUCCAUAGGGUCGCAAUAUUUUCCGUCUACGACUCCUCCAGGAUCGCCCAAUAUUUAUCUCUCUUUACCCGAAGUUCCCAAAGCCUUAUCUAUUACUGUCACCGACACGGAAAGGCACAGAGUGCUAGUGGUGGGAGCGUCAGAGGUUGGAAAAUCUUCCUUAACCACCCAAUUUACAACUUCCGUAUAUAUGUGUGCCUAUGACAACUCUCAGGAUGAAGAAAAUGAAAAAUCUGUGACCGUUGUUUUGAAUGGAAUGGAGUCAGAAUUGGUUUUUGUUGAAUGUACCGCCCAAGACUUUUUAGACAAAGUUAAAGACUCGCCAAGCUCUGCUACUAAUUACGACGCCUACGUGGCGGUUUACUCUGUUACAAAUAAAAGAAGUUUUCGGAAAACGAAGGAAAUCAUUAAUAAUCUGAUGAUUAUGGACAUCACCAGUAAUGCUAAAGCAGCGAUUCUAGUAGGGAACAAAACGGAUCUUGUAAGGCUACGAAAGGUUUCCAUGAAAGAAGGACAAGAUCUGGCAACUGCACACAGCUGGAAAUUUAUCGAGACAUCAACUGGAAUUAACCAUAAUGUGGAUGAGCUCUUGGUUGGAAUCCUCAGCCAGAUCCGACUGAAAUGUCAGCAACAGGAGAGAUUAAAGAAACAGAGAGAAUCAGUGACACUUACGGUCCCAAGCAUGUUUUCGUUCUGCACUGGUGGCAAAACAAAAGUUUUUAUCAAGAAGAUUUUAGAGAAGACUGUCCUGAAAUCAAGAUCUUGUGAUAACCUCCAUAUUUUGUGACCGUCUUUGAGAAUUAUUCUUCAUGGCCCAAAUUACUUUGAAAUCUGCAUGAAUCCAUACCAUAUGACAUUGUGCAGCAAAGUCACUUACUUAAAACCUUGUUGGAGCAGUUUUGAUUUAAAUCAAAUGUUAAUUCCUGUGGAUAUUAUGACACUAGUGAGCCAACCCCAUACGGGAGUAAGUCUAGUGAAGAUUCUUAGGACUCCAAAUUCCAUUAAAAUUCCAAAAUGGGUUAAAAUUAUUAUGAGUAUCGUCUUACUAUUGAAAACAAAUAAUCUCAUUAUGAAACAGAAUUGAUCUUACACAUUGCUUUAUCCAUUUAGUUUAGCUAAGUGAGUCAAUCUAUGUGUAAAUCACGUGUCGAAUGUAUUAAAACUUCUGUCAGAUCCUUGUCGCGACGCUAUGAUAUUCCAUAUUUACCGCAAAUGUUAGGCUAAUGAGGUUGUUGUAAUGAGGUUGUAGGUAGAGACUCAAACCUUCUGUCUGUAGAACACAAUUAUAGAAUUUUUGUUAACAUGAUUUUCAGACAACCCGUAUACUUAAAGACUAAAUAUCUGCAAAAAAAAAAAGUAAAUGUGAGUAUAUCCUUAGAGAUUAUAUCGGUACAAAGCAAUACUUAAAAUAAUUGGGCUGUUAUGUGACAUUUUCGUUUUGAAUAUCGAUUGUAUUCAAUGAAAUUAAGCGAAAAUUUCUAUAAGUUGAUACAACCACGUUACCAAAGUACAGGAAACUAUAUGCAUGUUUAUUAUAGUUUAGUAUUUCUCUGUAUAUAUAUAUGAAAACAAAACCAGCAAUAUUUCCAUUAAAUCAAUGGGUCCUGAAAUUAUUUCUCUGUCACUCGGUAAUUUACGACGAAAAUAUUUGAAUUAUUUUUUUAAUAUCAGCAACAACGUGCUUUAUAAUUCUGCCUUACAAACUUAACAUUUGUGUGUAAUGUUAUUAAGUUUCUUUGAAGUAAUUGAUAAUCUACUACAAAAACAUAUUGCAUACCGCAGUAUUUGAGUUUCCUGAUUAAGAUAAAAAUCAAUUGUUAGUUUUUUAUUUAUCAAUCAUCCUUAAUUUUUAGCUCCUUUCGAAAAAAAAAACGGUGUGCGUUAUCUGCGCUCUCUCUGUUCAAGUUUAUAACAUAUUAUUAGAUAAUUUGAGAUUAUCGAUAAUUUCACGUGAUGUUUUAUUUAAAGCUUUUUUUUAUUUAUUCGCUACUCAGUUACUUAAAAUGAAUGUAUCUGAUAAAACGUUCGUUAAUAUUUUCUGAUUGUCCUAUAGGAACAUUAGGAAACAUUACAAUAUAUAUAUACUGUUACCAAAAACCAGUAAAGACUGUUUCUAACACGUUCACGUAAGCGUAACUAGGCAUUUAAAAAUACUAUUGGAAAGAAACACCAAAAACUUGUUCGUACGCACGCACAUAUAAAUACACACUCGGAUGACAUACUCUGAAAAUGUAUUUUUCAUCACAAUAUACAAACAAGCCAUGCAAAGUUAAACAACAUAACUAUAGGAAUACUUGGACUAGGUACGGACACUAUACCACAUAACUAUAGGAAUACUUGGACUAAGUACUGACACUAUACCACAUAACUACAGGAAUAUUUGAGCUAGGUACUGACACUAUCCCACAUAACUACAGGAAUAUUUGAGCGAGGUACUGAUACUAUACCACAUAACUGCAUGAAUAUUUGAGCUAGGUACUGACACUAUCCCACAUAACUACAGGAAUAUUUGAGCGAAGUACUGACACUAUACCACAUAACUAUAAGAAUACUUGGACUAGGUACUGACACUAUACCACAUAACUACAUGAAUACUUGAGCUAGGUACUGAUACUAUACCACAUAACUACAGGAAUAUGUGAGAUAGGUACUGACGCUAUUCCACAUAACUACAGGAAUAUUUGAGCGAGGUACUGACACUAUACCAUAUAACUACAGGAAUAUUUGAGCUUGAGCUAGGUACUGACACUAUACCACAUAACUAUAGGAAUACUUGAGCUAGAUACUGACGCUAUACCACAUAACUACAGGAAUACUUGAGCUAGGUUCCUGACAACAUACUUCAUAAAUAUAAGAAUACCUAAGCUAGGUGCUGAAACUAUACCACAUAACUAUAAGAAUAUUUGAGCAAGGUACUGAUACUAUAUCACAUAAUAGCUAUAAGAUUGCUUGAUAUGGUUACUGACGCUAUACCACACAACUAUAAGAAUACUUGAGCUAGUUACUGACUAUACACCACACAACUAAAAGAAUACUUGAGUUAGGCACUAAUAAAGCCCUUGGUAGGUUUUAUUUAUGUUAGUAUUUUUCAACUCUCGUAGUUUUUAACUCUUUUGACAUGAAAAAUAUUGACACGACUCUGGCUCUGACGUCAGCACAAUGCAAUAAUACUUAUCAUUUCAUAAUGAAUCUAUCUAUGACAGACAUAUUAUCAUUGGUGAAUUGCUAAUAAUUUUAUUAAUUGUACCUGUGGGAUUUUCACAACCUACCCGUUUAGUGAGUCUUUAAUUUAUUGCUCAACUCAAUUAUAAUUAACGAUUAACACUGUAUUAAUACUUAAUACAAAUUAUACAACGUGAUCAAAAUAGCUUAACUAAAACACGUUACAGAAACGAAGAUUUAAUAUAAAUAUAUAUAAAAGUCAAAUAACAUAUAACAAGUCUAAGUUUUACA